This 229-nucleotide ribosomal RNA is filed under the name uncultured bacterium. RNAcentral describes it as "partial 16S ribosomal RNA". It matches the Rfam family "Bacterial small subunit ribosomal RNA", at positions 568 to 796 of the family's 1533-position model. The record is from RNAcentral.
UGCGUAGGCGGGUUUGUAAGUCAGUGGUGAAAGCCCGGAGCUCAACUCCGGAACUGCCAUUGAUACUGCAAGUCUUGAAUAUAGUUGAGGUAGGCGGAAUAUAGCAUGUAGCGGUGAAAUGCUUAGAUAUGCUAUAGAACACCGAUUGCGAAGGCAGCUUACUAAACUAUUAUUGACGCUGAGGCACGAAAGCGUGGGGAGCGAACAGGAUUAGAUACCCUGGUAGUCC